Molecule: non-coding RNA, 45 nt
Organism: Trichobilharzia regenti
Lineage: Eukaryota; Metazoa; Platyhelminthes; Trematoda; Strigeidida; Schistosomatidae
Source: Rfam
AGCUAGCUGAUGAGUCCCAAAUAGGACGAAAUGCGCAUCCUGGAU